Molecule: ribosomal RNA, 549 nt
Filed under: Meyerozyma guilliermondii
Lineage: Eukaryota; Fungi; Ascomycota; Pichiomycetes; Serinales; Debaryomycetaceae
Description: eukaryotic LSU rRNA
Rfam family: Eukaryotic large subunit ribosomal RNA
Source: RNAcentral
GCGGCGAUGAGCGGCUAGCUCAAUUUGAAUCUGGCGCCUUCGGUGUCCGAGUUGUAAUUUGAAGAUUGUAACCUUGGGGUUGGCUCUUGUCUAUGUUUCUUGGAACAGGACGUCACAGAGGGUGAGAAUCCCGUGCGAUGAGAUGCCCAAUUCUAUGUAAGGUGCUUUCGAAGAGUCGAGUUGUUUGGGAAUGCAGCUCUAAGUGGGUGGUAAAUUCCAUCUAAAGCUAAAUAUUGGCGAGAGACCGAUAGCGAACAAGUACAGUGAUGGAAAGAUGAAAAGAACUUUGAAAAGAGAGUGAAAAAGUACGUGAAAUUGUUGAAAGGGAAGGGUUUGAGAUCAGACUCGAUAUUUUGUGAGCCUUGCCUUCGUGGCGGGGUGACCCGCAGCUUAUCGGGCCAGCAUCGGUUUGGGCGGUAGGAUAAUGGCGUAGGAAUGUGACUUUACUUCGGUGAAGUGUUAUAGCCUGCGUUGAUGCUGCCUGCCUAGACCGAGGACUGCGAUUUUAUCAAGGAUGCUGGCAUAAUGAUCCCAAACCGCCCGUCUUGA